RNAcentral lists this long non-coding RNA (246 nucleotides) under Elaeis guineensis (African oil palm). RNAcentral's name for it is "long non-coding RNA (EGUI_LNC024375)". The record is from RNAcentral. Lineage: Eukaryota; Viridiplantae; Streptophyta; Magnoliopsida; Arecales; Arecaceae.
GUCCUGACAGUUCGCAUGUGCUCAUGCUGACUCUACAACUCAUUUAUCAUAGAAGCCAGAAUGUAGCACUUGAUCCAAUUGUCAUCAUUUGUCCACUUAUCCAAUGCUGCUCUUUGUUCAGUACUAGGACAGCUUGGUAAAGCAGGGGGUCCGAGUCAAGUACAUACCCUAUUUUCUUAAAAAUCAAGAUGAUUUUGAGAUUUUUGAGCUAAUCCUUGAAGUCAGUUUCGGUCAAUCAAUUGGACU